UACGUAGGGGGCUAGCGUUGUCCGGAAUCAUUGGGCGUAAAGCGCGUGUAGGCGGCCCGGUAAGUCCGCUGUGAAAGUCGGGGGCUCAACCCUCGAAUGCCGGUGGAUACUGUCGGGCUAGAGUGCGGAAGAGGCGAGUGGAAUUCCUGGUGUAGCGGUGAAAUGCGCAGAUAUCAGGAGGAACACCUAUUGCGAAGGCAGCUCGCUGGGACGUAACUGACGCUGAGACGCGAAAGCGUGGGGAGCAAACAGG
RNAcentral lists this ribosomal RNA (253 nucleotides) under uncultured bacterium. RNAcentral describes it as "partial 16S ribosomal RNA". It matches the Rfam family "Bacterial small subunit ribosomal RNA", at positions 524 to 776 of the family's 1533-position model. The record is from RNAcentral.